Mangifera indica (mango) is the source of this 1848-nucleotide long non-coding RNA. RefSeq lists it as uncharacterized. The record is from RefSeq and is a predicted model, not a curated record. The transcript has 2 exons. NCBI's taxonomy places the organism in Eukaryota, Viridiplantae, Streptophyta, Magnoliopsida, Sapindales, Anacardiaceae.
ACAAUCAAAUCAAUUUAAUUAAUCAGUUCAUCAACUAUUAAUAAAAAUUUAGAUAUAAGUUUUAUUUUAAGAAUUGCUUAGCAAAAAUUGCAUUGAAUUCUUGUUUAUCUCUUCUUCUGUUAAACAAUGUCAACCUUUUUGUGUCCCUGUGAACAAUAUCAUAACCCCAUCAUUGUUUGCUUUGUGUCAAGUGGCAUUAGAGCCUUGUCUAGAGAUGUUUAGGCAUAAAAAAGAUAUGGAGAGAAGUUUGUCAAACACACCUACUCAACUUGAUGAUUCACAGCACAAAAGAACCUUUCAUAAUGAGUGCACGGUUAUUAGUAAGGUCAAGACAAUGCUUACUCUUUCAUAUUGAGGAAAAAGCAAAUCAUCGUACCUAACAAGGUUGAAGGAAACGCUCUAAAGCAAGAGGGAAGAGUCUUAAUUUCCAUACCAUCAAAGGAGGAUGAAUUCAAACCUAGAAUUGAUAAAAAAAAGUCAAAUAAGUGAAGGAAACUUCAAAAGAAAAUAACAUUCUCUUCAAUCUAGAUAGUGCUAAAAUCAAAGAAGGUGAUAAGAUGAUAGUUAUAAUUACUAAUCAAGAUGAAGAAAUUGAGGCAAAAAAAGAUAUAAACUCGGCUCAAGCUUGGUGCAGUGUUCAACUCGAACAAAUUGAUCUCUAUCUAAAGAAAAAUUAGCUCAUUUUCAAAAUCAACAUCUCAUCAACAUUGCUAUACAAAAACUCGUCUCACUAACAAUCUUUUUCUUCUCUAACAAUUCUUCUUCUCCAUUAAGUUUGUUUCUCUAACAAUUGUUCAACAACUCAAACAAGAUUAUUCAAUGGCUCAAGCAAGCUACACUCAAACUCGAGUUGGUCAUUUUAGAUUCAAGUGAUGUUUAAAUUGCCCCUUAUUCAAAUCUAUACCCGUAUCUAGAAUUUCCCUUGAAACAAAAUCGUCACCUCUACUUUAUAGUACUUAUAUCAGACAAACAAAACUAAGUAAAUCAAUGAAAACCUUCGCAAAACUAUAGGAACCCAAGAAAAAACUUUAUUUGUAAGACUAAAGAAAUCUCAAAGUAGUGCACGUAAUCAAUAACAGAAGGCUUAAAAAGAUUGAAGACGAUUUCAUACAACUACUUCUUUGCUUAUUAUAAGUUAGGCAAAGCUUAUCAUGCUCCACAUCAAGUAAAACAAUUUGAGUUGAACAAGCAAUUUAAUCCAAACCCACAUAUAGGUGCCUGAAUUUUGAUAUAUUCAUUCAUAAUCUCCAGUUGAUGCCUUUGCAUUUGCACUUUUUCAAUUAUCUGGUUAGCAUUUAUGUCAUCAAAAAUAAGUUAUCAACGAAAUAGAAAUAAUCAGGCAUUAUAGCACAACAGCAAGCGUUUAUAUUGUCUUCUUUUUGUUCUAGUAUGCUCAUUCUCAUAAGCGGUAAGACUCACUAUAUCUUCUCAUAACUGGGAACAGUCAUUUACAUUCUACUUUACAUUUAAGCUCAAAAAUUUGAUAGUGAAAGCAAACAUUGCAAAUAAACAAGCCAAACCAGAGGGUUCCAUAACAUGCAAUUAUUCAAUAUACAAUUCAAUUGUCAUUUUUAUUUAUUUUUAAUAAAGUUUUAAGUAUCAAUUUCAUGUAAGGAUCAUUUCUCUUGCUUUAUUUUGCCCUGAAGUGAGGUUGGUUUUACAGUUUAACUCUCAAAUGUGUGCUCGUACUUCAGGUCAAUGCUGCAAAAGAAUGGAGAAGCAGAGUUUCAAGGUAGUGAUUCCCAGGAUAUUUAGUGUAGCAGCAAGUAUCUUAGAGCUUAAUUAUGUAAAUGGUCACAGAUUUUUGCUUUAUAUUCGAAAAGGAAACCUUACCGUUGACUCGUAAAA